AUUUGAGUGGAUCUGACUCUAGUACGAGAGGACCGAGUUGGACCGACCGCUGGUGCACCAGUUGUUCCGCCAGGAGCAUCGCUGGGUAGCUAUGUCGGGAUGGGAUAAGCGCUGAAAGCAUAUAAGCGCGAAACCCGCCACAAGAUGAGAUUUCUUUAAAGGGCCGUGGGAGAUGACCACGUCGAUAGGCUAUAGGUGGAAGGGCGGUAACGUCCGUAGCCGAGUAGUACUAAUUGCCCGUCAGGCUUGCGCAU
This is a non-coding RNA of Maribacter sedimenticola, 254 nucleotides long. NCBI's taxonomy places the organism in Bacteria, Pseudomonadati, Bacteroidota, Flavobacteriia, Flavobacteriales, Flavobacteriaceae. The record is from Rfam.